Molecule: ribosomal RNA, 225 nt
Filed under: Protopolybia sedula
Lineage: Eukaryota; Metazoa; Arthropoda; Insecta; Hymenoptera; Vespidae
Description: partial small subunit ribosomal RNA
Source: RNAcentral
GUAAAGCAUUAAAUUUAAAAGAUUUGGCGGUAUUUUAAAUAAUUAGAGGAACCUGUAUAAUAAUUGAUAAUCCACAAUAAGAUAAACUUAGAAAUUUAUGUAUUGCUGUUUGAAGAUUAUUAUUAAUUAAGUUUUUAAAUUUUUAAUUUAAUUUAAUUCAAGUCAAAAUAUAGUUUGAUUAAGAUAUGGGUUACAUUUUUAUUUUGAAAUUGGAUUUAAUAGUAA